Molecule: ribosomal RNA, 118 nt
Filed under: Pteropus alecto (black flying fox)
Lineage: Eukaryota; Metazoa; Chordata; Mammalia; Chiroptera; Pteropodidae
Source: RNAcentral
GUCUACGGCCAUGCCACCCUGAACGUGCAGAUCUCCUCUGACCUCAGAAGUUAAGCAGGGUCGGACCUGGUUAGGACUUGGAUGGGAAACCACCUAGGAAGACCAGGUGCUGUAGGCA